This 1075-nucleotide long non-coding RNA is filed under the name Gadus morhua (Atlantic cod). RNAcentral's name for it is "lncRNA (ENSGMOG00000023502.1)". The record is from RNAcentral. Lineage: Eukaryota; Metazoa; Chordata; Actinopteri; Gadiformes; Gadidae.
AUGCGAAUCAAUCCAUCUGGCGGAGUCAGCUUAGACUCUUGCAUUCAUAGUCUAUGUUUUGCUGAAACGUUGUCACAGUUUCUCCUGUGCAGGCAAGUGUCAACCCGACGUAUGAAACUUCGACGUCGUGCCUACCUCAUUUUUGGUUCAGGCAGGAUCACACAGUUUAUACACGAGAACUAUACAUUUGGUUUUGAAUAUAGCUUACACUACCUCCGGAGGAGGAAUGACAACUGUUGUCUACAUGCAGGCACCUGAAUGGAAAAUCUGAUCCAAGUGUAGACCUUAUUUUUAUUUGUUGACAUGCACUUUCCUUUUUUAAAGGUCUAGAAGUGAAGCGCUUCAAGGUAGUUGUGGUUUAGCACAUUUUUUGCUGCAAUACCACAGCAUUUCAUUUCAGACUCACACUUUGAGACUGUUCCUGGUCGCUUGAUGGAGCCACAGCCAAAGAACCCACGGCUUACCUCUGACGUUCGAAGUACCAUUAAAUCAUCCCUGAUUAAAUCAUCAAGCUAAGAUACCAACAUGAACAGAGUAUCUACACAACUUCAAGGGCUUUAAAAUAUAAACGAGGCACCAAAAGACAGAUACCAACUGUGAUAUUGUUUUGAAAGUGAAAUGUUCAAUGUGGAUGGGUGUGUCUGAAUUAGGAUGGAACACAACAUAGCCUAAAUGGAAGCCUCAAUUUCCGCCUCAAUUAAAGUCCCAUUUUAGAGUGAAUACCACCUAGUGCAUUAUCAGAUGGCAGCCCUGUAUCCAUAUAGGGCCACAGUCCAACGUCUAAUGAGUAGGCUACCUGGGUCAAGAUUUGUUGCCAAUAAAGUGGAGUAGAGCCAAGAUUUUGGCUCUACUUAACCUACCUUAUUAGAGGUAGGUUUAGGCAGAGUCCCGAAAUAAUAAACCUAAAUCCAAUGUAAUCCAAUUUAAAAAAGGACAAUAGAAACAAGACGAGACAGUACAUUAAUAUCAUGCGACCAAACCAUCGCAAUUGCACUGUACGGCCACAAGAUGGAGAUAAAGACAGUGUGUUCUUAGAAAAGCAAUGUUGGCCUACCUAUUUUCUAUCUAUCUUAGC